AUGAAUUCCUUAGGAACCUUUAUUAUAAAUGGAAUAUACCGAAUUGUGAUCAAUCAAAUAUUGCUAAGUCCUGGUAUUUACUACCGCUCGGAAUUAGAUCAUAAGGGAAUUUCUAUCUACACUGGCACUAUAAUAUCAGAUUGGGGGGGGGGGAGAUCGGAAUUAGCAGUUGAUAAAAAAGAAAGGAUAUGGGCUCGUGUGAGUAGAAAACAAAAGAUAUCUAUUCUAGUUCUAUCAUCAGCUAUGGGUUCGAAUCUAAGAGAAAUUCUAGAUAAUGUUUCCUACCCUGAAAUUUUCAUGUCUUUCCCGAAUGCUAAAGAGAAGAAGAGGAUUGAGUCAAAAGAAUUCUGCAGUGGUCGGGCAUUGAGUCUUACUCAACUUCACAGCUUGUAA
RNAcentral lists this ribosomal RNA (393 nucleotides) under Triticum aestivum (bread wheat). RNAcentral describes it as "partial small subunit ribosomal RNA". Lineage: Eukaryota; Viridiplantae; Streptophyta; Magnoliopsida; Poales; Poaceae. The record is from RNAcentral.